UGGGGAUCCUACCACUUCAAAGGGAAAAGCUCAUUCAGAAGGAGGGGAAAACAGGCAGAAAUAAGAUUAACUUCACCCUAGGAAGGGAACUCACACCCUGCAGAGGAGGAUCUGGACAUGAUGGACCUUGGGAGUCCCUUCCAACUCAGGAUAUUCUGAUUGCUGAACUGCUACUUACAGCUUUUCGCAACCUUCCUGCUUGUUCUUCUUCACUGCCCCUGUUUGAAAGUGUCUUGAAGAUGAAAUUAUGUCCUGAAGGAAUUCUGACACCAUUUUUGCGUUUUUGUCUCUCUGGGGAUUCUUAA
Molecule: long non-coding RNA, 305 nt
Filed under: Meleagris gallopavo (turkey)
Lineage: Eukaryota; Metazoa; Chordata; Aves; Galliformes; Phasianidae
Description: lncRNA (ENSMGAG00000019214.1)
Source: RNAcentral